CCCUUAGAGUUUGAUCCUGGCUCAGAUUGAACGCUGGCGGCAGGCCUAACACAUGCAAGUCGAGCGGUAACAGAUUGAUAGCUUGCUAUCAAUGCUGACGAGCGGCGGACGGGUGAGUAAUGCCUGGGAAUAUGCCCUGAUGUGGGGGAUAACUAUUGGAAACGAUAGCUAAUACCGCAUAAUCUCUUCGGAGCAAAGAGGGGGACCUUCGGGCCUCUCGCGUCAGGAUUAGCCCAGGUGGGAUUAGCUUGUUGGUGGGGUAAUGGCUCACCAAGGCAACGAUCCCUAGCUGGUCUGAGAGGAUGAUCAGCCACACUGGAACUGAGACACGGUCCAGACUCCUACGGGAGGCAGCAGUGGGGAAUAUUGCACAAUGGGGGAAACCCUGAUGCAGCCAUGCCGCGUGUAUGAAGAAGGCCUUCGGGUUGUAAAGUACUUUCAGUUGUGAGGAAGGCAGUAAAGUUAAAUAGCUUUGCUGUUUGACGUUAGCAACAGAAGAAGCACCGGCUAACUCCGUGCCAGCAGCCCGCGGUAAUACGGAGGGUGCGAGCGUUAAUCAGAAUUACUGGGCGUAAAGCGCAUGCAAGGUGGUUUGUUAAGCAAGAUG
Molecule: ribosomal RNA, 607 nt
Filed under: uncultured Pseudoalteromonas sp.
Lineage: Bacteria; Pseudomonadati; Pseudomonadota; Gammaproteobacteria; Alteromonadales; Pseudoalteromonadaceae
Description: bacterial SSU rRNA
Rfam family: Bacterial small subunit ribosomal RNA
Source: RNAcentral